AGAACGAACGCUGGCGGCAUGCCUAACACAUGCAAGUCGAACGAGACCUUCGGGUCUAGUGGCGCACGGGUGCGUAACGCGUGGGAAUCUGCCCUUGGGUUCGGGAUAACAGUUGGAAACGACUGCUAAUACCGGAUGAUGUCUUCGGACCAAAGAUUUAUCGCCCAAGGAUGAGCCCGCGUAGGAUUAGCUUGUUGGUGAGGUAAGAGCUCACCAAGGCGACGAUCCUUAGCUGGUCUGAGAGGAUGAUCAGCCACACUGGGACUGAGACACGGCCCAGACUCCUACGGGAGGCAGCAGUGGGAAUAUUGGACAAUGGCGAAAGCCUGAUCCAGCAAUGCCGCGUGAGUGAUGAAGGCCUUAGGUUGUAAAGCUUCUUUACCCGGGAUGAUAAUGACAGUACCGGAGAAUAACGCCCGGCUAACUCCGCGCCAGCGACGCCGAC
RNAcentral lists this ribosomal RNA (445 nucleotides) under uncultured soil bacterium. Its description in RNAcentral is "bacterial SSU rRNA". It matches the Rfam family "Bacterial small subunit ribosomal RNA", at positions 26 to 522 of the family's 1533-position model. The record is from RNAcentral.